Long non-coding RNA from Alligator mississippiensis (American alligator), 2705 nucleotides. RefSeq lists it as uncharacterized. The transcript is spliced from 3 exons. Lineage: Eukaryota; Metazoa; Chordata; Crocodylia; Alligatoridae. The record is from RefSeq and is a predicted model, not a curated record.
AGCAUUGCAAAAAUUGCCUGUUAUGGCAGCUCAAACUUCUAGGAGUUUUUCCCUAUUCAGCAUUCAGGGCCAGACUAAGCUCUGCAUUUCAGAGGCCUGAUUUUUUGUAGGCUGGGUUCCAUCUCUUCUGAUGACAUGACCCUUAACUGACCCAGGGGUUUCUAUUUAGUCUAUUACUCAGUUUGCUCUAAUCUGCUAGUCAGCUCAGCUGUCCUUCACUUAUUCUUUACCUUCCUGCCUGCUUAAAGCACUGCCACUGUAGCUUAUUGUAGGGGUGUCUUUUCUCAUAUAGUUGCCUGUAGCUCCUCUUUUUUAUCUGCCUUUAGACUGCUUACUUCUCUGCAGCUGGCCCUUGCUCAGCAGCCUGCUAGACCUUUCCCCUCAACCCCUGUUACAGAGAGAGAGGGAGGGAUCUCUUCUAGGUGUGAGGUAGGGCUGAGAAGAGGUUUUGUAUACCUCGGUGUGAAUGGGACCCGGGAAGAGCAGUUGAGAUGAUUUGCUGUCCUGUGUAAUAGACUGGAGUGUUUGCUCUCCUGAAGAAUACCCAAGGAAGUGGGAUGGGAUCGCUGCCUUUCACAGGAUGGCAACAGCACUAAGAGCAGCACAGCACCCCCUCCAGUACAGAGCGUGUGGCUUCCAGCAUCACAUACUAUAACACUGUGCAGCAGCAGCAGCAAUAGGCGCCGCUUUCCCGAGGAAAAAUGAUUCCCACGUGAGCUGGCAGGAUGACGUUGAAUUUCCGCGAAAAUCCAGCAUGGUGCGGGCUGCAGCUGGACUGGAGACAUCGCUGCAGGGAGUGAUUUAGACACUGGGAGGGGGGAGGAUCUUCCCCACAACCUUUCCAGACACUGGUGUCAACUUUAUAAGCACAGAAGUGCGUCUCCGGGUGUAGGCAUAGCUGCAAGCCCCGUGGCCACCCAGAGUCAAAACAAAACCCUCAUCUCGACCCGACGGAGGAAAAUGAGAACCACACGUUAGCGGCUCAGACAUGAACCCGAAAGCAGGAGCUUGGACUUGGUGGCUUGCAAGGAAAGGUUGGGCAGUCCCUGCCCUGGCAUGAAGUCGGGUAACUCUUUGCUCCCAGGGCGGGGAGAGGAGCAUUUUUGCAACAACAAAAAAAUUAAAAAACAAAAACAAAAAAACUAAAUAUAAUACUUUGAAUGAGAGGCACCGAAGUAAGAAAGCUUUUAAAAUAAGAUUUCUCCCCCCAGUGAUCUCGCUUUGAUCCUGAAACUGGAGGGCAAUAUCCAUGGGGAGAUGACAGGAGGGGGAUGUCACCUCGUUUCUUGUCCUGGUGUGUGAAGGACACCCCCAGAUGUGUGCUCGUUUCUUUUCCAGAUGUGUGCUGUGUGCCCACGGGACCCCUCCUGCCUCUUCCUCCUGAAAAGCCAGCGCCUUUGCAAAGUCACUGGUCUUUCCCCCUUUGUCCUGAUCAGUGUCACAUCUGUACAAGGACAUCCAUCUCCCCGCUCCCCAGUGAAAAUCAAAUUCAAGCACAAGCCCUGGCUUGUUCGGGCUCCCAAGCUGGAGCAGGGCGUUUAUGAAUUCACUCCGAUGAGUUUGGAGAAGGCAAACGUGCCAUUGACACAACGCGCUCCCUGUUUACAGGAGCAGGCGGGCAAUAGGGAAGGGGGAAUGAAUGGGGGGAGUUUAAAGAGCCUUUCAUUGAGUAGCAUGCCGCUUUUUAAUAGCUCCUAGUUCAUAGACCUCAGUGUAUGUGCAGGGGUGGGGAAAGCUCCCUCCCUUUUCCCUUUCUCCAGGGGCAGAAUACAAUGCGGGCUUUGCACAACACAGCUAUGUCCACCGCUUCCUACCGGGGACUUUUGAUUGACAACCGCCCAGCUGAUGCCAUUAUAAGGAGGCAGGAGGGGGGGAAAUGUAGUGCCACUGCGAUUUGUCGGGUGCCUGCAUCCGGGGUUUCCUGGAUGCGCACCCGGCCGCAGCCCCCUGCUCCUUUGGGGAGGAGCUGGCAAAGAAAAUGAGGAGGGUCUCCCAGGAGGAGGGCUCUGCCGGCCCAGCAAGAAUCAGCCGCACUGUGGGUUGGAGUCCAGAGGCGGGUGGGUGUUUCUUAAUAAAAGAAACACGGGCAUCAUCGACUCAACAUCUGGCUAGUCUGGGGCAGCCCCCCAGCACUGUGUGCUUCUAUACUAUAAUAAUAUUGAUAUUGAUAAUAAUGGUGAUAAUAAUAACUCUCCUUAUGACUUUAUUCCUAAACCAUCUGGGGCAACCCUGUGUGCCUCUAUUGCUAUAAUAAUAUUGAUAUUAAUAAUGAUAAUGACGAUGAUAAUAAUGAUGAUAAUACUACUAAUAACUCUCUUUAUGACUUGAUUCCUAACCUGUCUGGGGCAUCCCCCCAGCCCUGUGUGCCUCUAUGCAAGAAUACUGAUAGUAAUAAUGACAAUGACGACAAUGAUGAUGAUGAUAAUGAUCAUCUUUAUGAUCUCUUUAUGACCAGCCCCCCAGUCCCGUGUGUCUCGAUUGCAAUAAUCAUAUUGCUAUUUAUAGUGAUAAUGACGACGAUGAUAAUAAUGAUGAUGAUAUUAUUACUAUUAUUAUUAUAGCUGUCUUUAUGCCUUGAUUCCUAAUCUAUCACAGCAGCUCCAGCCUCAGGGCAGGCUGUUUCGGUUUGCCCCGCAGUUUGGCGGGGCUGGCUGCAGGCUCACGCCGCAGUCGCUAAUUGCAUGGAUUUAUUGAGUUGCGGGAGA